UUGAAAGGGAAACGAUUGAAGUCAGUCAUGCUUGCAGGGAAUCAACAAAGUGGUUUUCUUCCUUGUGCACUUCCUUGCUUGGCAGGUUAGCAUCAAUUUUGAUUGUCAUUAAAGAACUGGGGGAAUGUGGCUUCUUCGGGAGUGUUAUAGACCCUGGUAGAUGUGGCGAUUGGGAUUGAGGAUUGCAGCGAAUGCUUCUUGGCUAGUUACCUGGCUUCUGAUGGUCACCUUGCUUUCGAUAGCUUGCUAACGUUGGUGAGAUUUGAUUGUCUAGAUGUUGGAGUGAUCAUAAAUUCGCUAAGGAUGCUGACGUAAUGGCUUUAAACGACCCGUCUUGAAACACGGACCA
This 349-nucleotide ribosomal RNA is filed under the name Glomeromycotina sp. RNAcentral's name for it is "partial large subunit ribosomal RNA". Lineage: Eukaryota; Fungi; Glomeromycota. The record is from RNAcentral.